This is a small nuclear RNA of Octodon degus (degu), 102 nucleotides long. Lineage: Eukaryota; Metazoa; Chordata; Mammalia; Rodentia; Octodontidae. The record is from Ensembl.
AAUAUAUGCAGUGUAUUAUUUGUUGAAAAAAAAAACCAGAGAAGAUUAGCAUGGCCCCUGCGCAAGGAUGACACACAAAUUCGUGAAGCGUUCCAUAUUUUU